This 85-nucleotide transfer RNA is filed under the name Candidatus Saccharimonadota bacterium. RNAcentral's name for it is "tRNA-Tyr". It matches the Rfam family "tRNA". Rfam says of the family: Transfer RNA (tRNA) molecules are approximately 80 nucleotides in length. Their secondary structure includes four short double-helical elements and three loops (D, anti-codon, and T loops). Lineage: Bacteria; Candidatus Saccharimonadota. The record is from RNAcentral.
GCGGGGUUAGUGAAGCGGUCAAACACAGCAGACUGUAAAUCUGCCCUCUUCGAGUUCGUAGGUUCGAAUCCUACACCCCGCACCA